This 305-nucleotide ribosomal RNA is filed under the name uncultured bacterium. RNAcentral describes it as "bacterial SSU rRNA". It matches the Rfam family "Bacterial small subunit ribosomal RNA", at positions 334 to 656 of the family's 1533-position model. The record is from RNAcentral.
ACUUCCUACGGGACGCAGCAGUGGGGGAUAUUGCACAAUGGGGGGAACCCUGAUGCAGCGACGCCGCGUGAAGGAAGAAGUAUCUCGGUAUGUAAACUUCUAUCAGCAGGGAAGAAAAUGACGGUACCUGACUAAGAAGCCCCGGCUAACUACGUGCCAGCAGCCGCGGUAAUACGUAGGGGGCAAGCGUUAUCCGGAUUUACUGGGUGUAAAGGGAGCGUAGACGGCGAUGCAAGCCAGAUGUGAAAGCCCGGGGCUCAACCCCGGGACUGCAUUUGGAACUGUAUAGCUAGAGUGUCGGAGAG